GAUGAACGCUAGCGACAGGCUUAACACAUGCAAGUCGAGGGGCAGCAUGAUUAGUAGCAAUACUAAUUGAUGGCGACCGGCGCACGGGUGAGUAACGCGUAUGCAACCUACCUAUCAGAGGGGGAUAGCCCAUCGAAAGAUGGAUUAAUACCGCAUAAAACAGGGGCCUCGCAUGAGGAUAUUUGUUAAAGAGAUUCGCUGAUAGAUGGGCAUGCGUUCCAUUAGUUAGUUGGUGAGGUAACGGCUCACCAAGACAUCGAUGGAUAGGGGUUCUGAGAGGAAGGUCCCCCACACUGGUACUGAGACACGGACCAGACUCCUACGGGAGGCAGCAGUGAGGAAUAUUGGUCAAUGGGCGAGAGCCUGAACCAGCCAAGUCGCGUGAAGGAUGACUGCCCUAUGGGUUGUAAACUUCUUUUAUAUGGGAAUAAAAAACACUACGUGUAGUGUAUUGCAUGUACCAUAAUGAAUAAGCAUCGGCUAACUCCGUGCCAGCAGCCGCAGUAAAAC
Molecule: ribosomal RNA, 510 nt
Filed under: uncultured bacterium
Lineage: Bacteria
Description: bacterial SSU rRNA
Rfam family: Bacterial small subunit ribosomal RNA
Source: RNAcentral